Molecule: ribosomal RNA, 478 nt
Filed under: uncultured Planctomycetales bacterium
Lineage: Bacteria; Pseudomonadati; Planctomycetota; Planctomycetia; Planctomycetales
Description: bacterial SSU rRNA
Rfam family: Bacterial small subunit ribosomal RNA
Source: RNAcentral
UUUCGCAAUGCCCGAAAGGGUGACGAAGCGACGCCGCGUGUGGGAAGAAGGCCUUCGGGUUGUAAACCACUGUCGGGAGUUAGGAAAUGCAGGUGCGUUAAUAGCGCACUUGCUUGACUAAGGCUCCAGAGGAAGCCACGGCUAACUCUGUGCCAGCAGCCGCGGUAAUACAGAGGCGGCAAGCGUUGUUCGGAAUUAUUGGGCGUAAAGAGCACGUAGGCGGCCUUGCAAGUCAGUUGUGAAAGCCUUCCGCUUAACGGAAGAACGGCAUCUGAUACUACAGGGCUUGAGUACGGGAGGGGAGAGUGGAACUUCUGGUGGAGCGGUGAAAUGCGUAGAUAUCAGAAGGAACGCCGGCGGCGAAAGCGACUCUCUGGUCCGAAACUGACGCUGAGUGUGCGAAAGCUAGGGGAGCAAACUGGAUUAGAUACCCCGGUAGUCCUAGCCGUAAACGAUGGGCACUAAGUAGAGGGGUUUU